This 468-nucleotide ribosomal RNA is filed under the name uncultured bacterium. Its description in RNAcentral is "partial 16S ribosomal RNA". It matches the Rfam family "Bacterial small subunit ribosomal RNA", at positions 28 to 507 of the family's 1533-position model. The record is from RNAcentral.
GACGAACGCUGGCGGCGUGCUUAACACAUGCAAGUCGAACGGAAAGGCCCUGCUUUUGCGGGGUGCUCGAGUGGCGAACGGGUGAGUAACACGUGAGUAACCUGCCCUUGACUUUGGGAUAACUUCAGGAAACUGGGGCUAAUACCGGAUAGGAGCUCCUGAUGCAUGGUGGGGGUUGGAAAGUUUCGGCGGUUGGGGAUGGAAUCGCGGCUUAUCAGCUUGUUUGUGGGGUAGUGGAUUACCAAGGCUUUGACUGGUAGCCGGCCUGAGAGCGUGACCGGCCACAUUAGGACUGAGAUACGGACCAGACUCCUACGGGAGGCAGCAGUCGGGAGUAUUGCACAAUGGGCGGAAGCCUGAUGCAGCAACGCCGCGUGCGGGAUGACGGCCUUCGGGUUGUGAACCGCUUUCGCCGGUGACGUAGCGGGAUUGACGGUAAUGGGUAAAGAAGCACCGGCUAGCUACGUG